AUUGAACGCUGGCGGCAUGCCUUACACAUGCAAGUCGAACGGCAGCAUAGGAGCUUGCUCCUGAUGGCGAGUGGCGAACGGGUGAGUAAUAUAUCGGAACGUGCCCUAGAGUGGGGGAUAACUAGUCGAAAGACUAGCUAAUACCGCAUACGAUCUACGGAUGAAAGUGGGGGAUCGCAAGACCCCAUGCUCCUGGAGCGGCCGAUAUCUGAUUAGCUAGUUGGUGGGGUAAAAGCCUACCAAGGCGACGAUCAGUAGCUGGUCUGAGAGGACGACCAGCCACACUGGGACUGAGACACGGCCCAGACUCCGACGGGAGGCAGCAGUGGGGAAUUUUGGACAAUGGGGGCAACCCUGAUCCAGCAAUGCCGCGUGAGUGAAGAAGGCCUUCGGGUUGUAAAGCUCUUUUGUCAGGGAAGAAACGGUAGUAGCUAAUAUCUAUUACUAAUGACGGUACCUGAAGAAUAAGCACCAGCUAACUACGUGCCAGCCGCCGCAGUAA
Molecule: ribosomal RNA, 502 nt
Filed under: uncultured bacterium
Lineage: Bacteria
Description: partial 16S ribosomal RNA
Rfam family: Bacterial small subunit ribosomal RNA
Source: RNAcentral